ACUGAGACACGGCCCAGACUCCUACGGGAGGCAGCAGUGGGGAAUAUUGCACAAUGGGCGCAAGCCUGAUGCAGCGACGCCGCGUGAGGGAUGACGGCCUUCGGGUUGUAAACCUCUUUCAGCAGGGAAGAAGCGAAAGUGACGGUACCUGCAGAAGAAGCGCCGGCUAACUACGUGCCAGCAGCCGCGGUAAUACGUAGGGCGCAAGCGUUGUCCGGAAUUAUUGGGCGUAAAGAGCUCGUAGGCGGCUUGUCGCGUCGGAUGUGAAAGCCCGGGGCUUAACCCCGGGUCUGCAUUCGAUACGGGCAGGCUAGAGUUCGGUAGGGGAGAUCGGAAUUCCUGGUGUAGCGGUGAAAUGCGCAGAUAUCAGGAGGAACACCGGUGGCGAAGGCGGAUCUCUGGGCCGAUACUGACGCUGAGGAGCGAAAGCGUGGGGAGCGAACAGGAUUAGAUACCCUGGUAGUCCACGCCGUAAACGUUGGGAACUAGGUGUGGGCGACAUUCCACGUUGUCCGUGCCGCAGCUAACGCAUUAAGUUCCCCGCCUGGGGAGUACGGCCGCAAGGCUAAAACUCAAAGGAAUUGACGGGGGCCCGCACAAGCGGCGGAGCAUGUGGCUUAAUUCGACGCAACGCGAAGAACCUUACCAAGGCUUGACAUACACCGGAAACGUCUGGAGACAGGCGCCCCCUUGUGGUCGGUGUACAGGUGGUGCAUGGCUGUCGUCAGCUCGUGUCGUGAGAUGUUGGGUUAAGUCCCGCAACGAGCGCAACCCUUGUUCUGUGUUGCCAGCAUGCCCUUCGGGGUGAUGGGGACUCACAGGAGACUGCCGGGGUCAACUCGGAGGAAGGUGGGGACGACGUCAAGUCAUCAUGCCCCUUAUGUCUUGGGCUGCACACGUGCUACAAUGGCCGGUACAAUGAGCUGCGAAGCCGUGAGGUGGAGCGAAUCUCAAAAAGCCGGUCUCAGUUCGGAUUGGGGUCUGCAACUCGACCCCAUGAAGUCGGAGUCGCUAGUAAUCGCAGAUCAGCAUUGCUGCGGUGAAUACGUUCCCGGGCCUUGUACACACCGCCCGUCACGUCACGAAAGUCGGUAACACCCG
RNAcentral lists this ribosomal RNA (1101 nucleotides) under Streptomyces sp. RNAcentral's name for it is "bacterial SSU rRNA". It matches the Rfam family "Bacterial small subunit ribosomal RNA", at positions 318 to 1423 of the family's 1533-position model. The record is from RNAcentral. Lineage: Bacteria; Bacillati; Actinomycetota; Actinomycetes; Kitasatosporales; Streptomycetaceae.